This is a long non-coding RNA of Budorcas taxicolor (takin), 3121 nucleotides long. RefSeq lists it as uncharacterized. The transcript is spliced from 3 exons. The record is from RefSeq and is a predicted model, not a curated record. NCBI's taxonomy places the organism in Eukaryota, Metazoa, Chordata, Mammalia, Artiodactyla, Bovidae.
AAGAGGCUGUGCUCUGGGGCUCCGGCUCCUCAGAGAGCCUCGGCUAGCUCCCUGGUGGUCAUUGGGAGAUUUCGCAACUUGUGCAUAACAUUUGGGGGCUCGUCCAGGAUCUCCCACCGGCUCCACGGGAGGACUGAUCCGGAGAGUCAUCUGCAGCCGGGACACAUGGAAGAGACUCAAGGCUCUGUAUGAAUCAGGCCUGCCACCUGAACCCCACCGCUACCGGCCAGGAGACUGGGUGUUCGUGCGCCGCCAUCACCAGGAGACCCUAGAACCCAGAUGGAAAGGACCCUUCCUGGUUGUCUUGAAGACGACCACCGCACUCAAGGUUGACAGCAUAUCCACUUGGGUUCACUACACUCACGGAUGGCCUGCACACCUGUUCGUCUUGAGAGAAGAGUUCCUUCCCCAAUGGAAUGCCAAGCUGGACAAGACAAAUCUCAAGCUACAAGGAUGAUAAAAAUACUGUUUAUGCUGUUGUCUAUAUGGCCUGAUGCUGCCGCUAACCCCCAUCAACCCAUGAACCUGACUUGGAUGGUUUUAAGUACGACCACAGGAGAGGUAAUUAACUCUACCUCGGCCAUCUAUCCUACAAAGUAUCUGGUGGCCGGACUUGGAAUUUGACCUCUGUCUUCUGGCCGUGGGAUCUUGGGACACCGGUGACUGGGAGGUAAGAACACCCGGUAAACCAGAAUGUGGAGCCAGCAUUAAUCGUUGCAAUACCCGACCCCCUACCAACUCAGGACCUGGAUGCAGUCAUUUCAUUCAACGAGCAGCCUUGCGGGACACUACCUUCUAUGUAUGCCCCGAGGGAAGAUGGGACCGGGACUGGGCAACAGUCAAUAACUGCGGGGGCGCUGACAAAUUUUACUGUGCCACUUGGGGAUGCGAGUCAACGGGGACUGUCGACUGGGAACCUGCUACUCGAGGAGACUUGAUUACUUUGAGUCGUGUCCCAGGGCCCGCCGGAUUAACUGGGGGACAUGGGAGGGGAUCUCUCGUUACGGGGCCUUGUAUGAGGUUUCUUUGCAACCCGGUAAGGCUCAAAUUUUCAACCGAAGGAAAAAAGUUCCCCAGUUCGGAGGUGGGACAAUCUUGGGGCCUCCGGCUAUAUCAAUCAGGAUAUGAUAAUGGAUUAUUAUUCACUGUUAGGCUAAAAAUAGAGCCCAUACAGACAGGCCCAAGUUAAGGCAUAGGGCGUAAUUCUGUCCUAGUGCCCCGAGAGCCUACCUGGAUGCCUCCCGGGCCCAGGUUUACCAGUAUAAACAACCUCCCUCAAAUUAACUUUACAGUGCCCAAUGUUAAAGAUGGUCAGGACCUGUUAUUUGACAUGAUAGAUAGUACCUAUCAGGUCCUAAAUUCCACCCGCCCAGACCUAAUAGUUGCUGGUUAUGUUAUGACAUCAAACCCCCUUAUUAUGAAGACAGCCGUCCUGGGAAAUUACACCCAAACGAGAGACCACAGAACUUGCCGAUGGCAGCAAAGAGGGGAUGCAAGAUUAACUCUCCAAUGAGUGACUGGACAGGGCCUCUGCAUAGGGAAUGUCCCCCAAACCUAUCAACACCUCUGCAAUGCCACAGACUCUGUAAAAACAACUGAGUACCUGGUACCUCCACAGGCUUAGCACCUUGUAUACAUGGGCAGGUGUUAAAUGACUCAAAAGAUAUCUGUGUGUUAGUACUAUUAGUCCCCCGACUGUUCUAUCACUCCAAUGAUGAACUCUUCCAACAACUAGGAGACUCUCACCGGCCCAAGAGAGAACCUGUCACGGCUUUAACCCUCACAGUCUUGUUGGGGUUAGGAACAGCGGAGGCAGGAACCGGGAUAUCCUCUUUUGUAUUACAGAAUCAACAUUAUUCCAGCCUAAGGGCAGCCAUUGAUCUUGGUUUCGAGCGACUAGAAAGCUCAAUCAGCCACCUCCAAGAGUUGCUGAGCUCCCUGGCGGAAGUAGUACUGCAAAAUAGAAGGGGGCUAGACUUGGUUUUUCUCCAGCAAGGGGGCCUAUGCGCCGCAUUAGGAGAAGAGUGCUGUUUUUAUGUAGAUCACUCAGGGGUGGUCAGAGAAUCCCUGGCCAAGUUAAGGGAAGGGCUAAAUCAGAGAAAAAGAGAAAGAAAUGUCUCAAGAGUUGGUUUGAAUCCUGGUUCAACUCAUCCCCCUGGUUCACAACCCUCAUAUCUUCCUUGGCAGGGCCUCUGAUUAUCUUGCUUUUGCUACUCACCUUCGGACCAUGUUUAUUAAACAAACUAAUAACCUUCAUGAAAAGCUGCAUCAACAUGGUGCAGCUUAUGGUGCUCAGGUCCCAAUAUACAGCCCUACCAACAGCCCCCUUAGUGGGAGACAAUAUAGAUCUGACUACAGACCCAUGAUUUGGUCUAUCCUGGAUCCUUGGGAAUGGGGGAAUGAAGAACCUAAGCUACUCCAUCUUGUCAAAAAGAGAACUCCAUUUUGUGAGGUUCCCAGAAAAAGACUUUGGAAGUCACCCGAUCUCACCCCACUAUCCACACGCCAAUCAGACCUCAGACCAAAAUCUGACUUUACGUUUAGGAAUUUGUGGUUUGCCUAGGUAAUAAGACCCAAUCAGAAAUCAACACACAACCCUUCAAAAGAGGGUGACCAAUCAGAUGUCCUCCAGCCUGGAAAUCCCCCUUUACAUGAAUAUACCCUAUAUAAGCAAUGUAACCCAAAACUCGGGGCUCCUUCCCAUAGCCACUGCGUCGGUAACGGUGGGGGCCCCAGCUUGAGCUUGGUAAUAAAGACUCCAUUGCUUUUGCAUCGGACAUCGGCUCCAUGGUGGUCCCUGGGAGAUUUCACAACUUGGGCAUAACAAUACCUAGGCUAACUUUGUUAUACUUAGGAACAAAUUAGAUUCACCAGUGUGUUCUCCGAAUGAAACUCAUUUGUAUGUAGCGGAAAUACUAUACUAAAAUGAAACCAACUUUUCAACUCAUUAACCUUUCUGACUUAUUCUCGUGUGUAGAGGCUACAUGAUAUGUGGUACUGUCAUCACUGAUGUUAAUUGAAUGGUGCUGAAUAUUCUUCAAUUUACUAUAAUUUCCUAAGGUUUAGUAUGAAUGUCUGCAUCUAUAGAAGUUAACUCACUCUUUAGGUUAUACCUUCAAAA